UAUCAUAGGAAUAGCUUUUCAAUAUGAAUGUUAUGACUGCUUCCGCUGCCAUACUAAAUAAAUUGCAUGAGGUGUUUUAUUUAUUGUAAUUAUGUGUUAUCUUGUUUUUGCAGACUUUGAAUGAGGUGACAACUGGAAAUGAGGACAUGGACACCUCAGAUACAUUUGACAGUGAUCUUGACGUCUCCGACGUAACUGAGGCAGCCAACGAAAACUUGGGCAUUGACAGACAUGAUACAUUCUUCCUAUUUGGAGAUAUUGCUAUGGAAACUAGGAUUCGGAAUGCUUCUCCAUGCACGGCUCGAGAUUGCAAGUGGCCUAAAAAAGCAAGAAUGGGGUUGUGCCUGUGUAUACGUCUUUGUAUAGUAAGUGUAUUUUUGAAUCAAUUUUGUAUAGUGGCCAUUCACACAACUUUCAUUAUGGCCCCCUUUGCUGUCCAAUUUAAAGGGUCCUAAAUUCAGUGCGGUGAAAAUCGUCUCAUUCGUUCUUUGCAGCUUUAGAGGAGCAAGAUAUCAUCAUAAAAGGACCCAUCUCCUUCCACCGGUCUACCUGCAUCCAAUAUGUGUGGUGGAAGCGGCAUCAAGAUUAUUUUGUAUUUCCACCCUGGAAAUGGGUGUUACAAGUAGACGUUCAAGUGAAAAGGGGCGGCAGCGUAGCCUAGUGGUUAGAGCGUUGGACUAGUAACCGGAAGGUUGCGAGUUCAAACCCCCGAGCUGACAAGGUACAAAUCUG
Oncorhynchus kisutch (coho salmon) is the source of this 732-nucleotide long non-coding RNA. RefSeq lists it as uncharacterized. The transcript is spliced from 3 exons. The record is from RefSeq and is a predicted model, not a curated record. Lineage: Eukaryota; Metazoa; Chordata; Actinopteri; Salmoniformes; Salmonidae.